GACGAACGCUGGCGGCGUGCUUAACACAUGCAAGUCGAACGGAAAGGCCCUGCUUUUGUGGGGUGCUCGAGUGGCGAACGGGUGAGUAACACGUGAGUAACCUGCCCUUGACUUUGGGAUAACUUCAGGAAACUGGGGCUAAUACCGGAUAGGAGCUCCUGCUGCAUGGUGGGGGUUGGAAAGUUUCGGCGGUUGGGGAUGGACUCGCGGCUUAUCAGCUUGUUGGUGGGGUAGUGGCUUACCAAGGCUUUGACGGGUAGCCGGCCUGAGAGGGUGACCGGCCACAUGGGGACUGAGAUACGGCCCAGACUCCUACGGGAGGCAGCAGGGGGGAAUAUGGCACAAGGGGCGGAAGCCUGAGGCAGAAACGCCGCGUGCGGGAUGACGGCUUGCGGGUUGAAAACCGCUUUCGCCUGUGACGAAGCGGGAGUGACGGUAAUGGAUAAAGAAGCACCGGCUAACUACGUG
This 468-nucleotide ribosomal RNA is filed under the name uncultured bacterium. RNAcentral's name for it is "partial 16S ribosomal RNA". It matches the Rfam family "Bacterial small subunit ribosomal RNA", at positions 28 to 507 of the family's 1533-position model. The record is from RNAcentral.